This 467-nucleotide ribosomal RNA is filed under the name uncultured bacterium. Its description in RNAcentral is "partial 16S ribosomal RNA". It matches the Rfam family "Bacterial small subunit ribosomal RNA", at positions 28 to 507 of the family's 1533-position model. The record is from RNAcentral.
GACGAACGCUGGCGGCGUGCUUAACACAUGCAAGUCGAACGGAAAGGCCUCUUUCGGGGGGUACUCGAGUGGCGAACGGGUGAGUAACACGUGAGUAACCUGCCCUUGACUUUGGGAUAACUUCAGGAAACUGGGGCUAAUACCGGAUAGGAGCUCCUGCUGCAUGGUGGGGGUUGGAAAGUUUCGGCGGUUGGGGAUGGACUCGCGGCUUAUCAGCUUGUUGGUGGGGUAGUGGCUUACCAAGGCUUUGACGGGUAGCCGGCCUGAGAGGGUGACCGGCCACAUUGGGACUGAGAUACGGCCCAGACUCCUACGGGAGGCAGCAAUGGGGAAUAUUGCACAAUGGGUGGAAGCCUGAUGCAGCAACGCCGUGUGCGGGAUGACGGCCUUCGGGUUGUAAACCGCUUUCGCUCAUGACGAAGCUUUGUGUGACGGUAGUGGGUAAAGAAGCACCGGCUAACUACGUG